ACUCCUACGGGAGGCAGCAGUAGGGAAUCUUCCACAAUGGACGCAAGUCUGAUGGAGCAACGCCGCGUGAGUGAAGAAGGUUUUCGGAUCGUAAAGCUCUGUUGCUGGCGAAGAAGGAUAGAGGUAGUAACUGGCCUUUAUUUGACGGUAAUCAACCAGAAAGUCACGGCUAACUACGUGCCAGCAGCCGCGGUAAU
RNAcentral lists this ribosomal RNA (197 nucleotides) under uncultured Lactobacillus sp. Its description in RNAcentral is "partial 16S ribosomal RNA". It matches the Rfam family "Bacterial small subunit ribosomal RNA", at positions 335 to 524 of the family's 1533-position model. Lineage: Bacteria; Bacillati; Bacillota; Bacilli; Lactobacillales; Lactobacillaceae. The record is from RNAcentral.